CACGUAGGCCGCAAGCGUUGUCCGGAAUUAUUGGGCGUAAAGAGCUCGUAGGCGGUUUGUUGCGUCGGCUGUGAAAUCCCGAGGCUCAACCUCGGGUCUGCAGUCGAUACGAGCAAACUAGAGUGUUGCAGGGGAGACUGGAAUUCCUGGUGUAGCGGUGAAAUGCGCAGAUAUCAGGAGGGAACACCCGGUGGGCGAAAGGCGGGGUCUCUGGGGCAACAACUGACG
This 228-nucleotide ribosomal RNA is filed under the name uncultured bacterium. RNAcentral's name for it is "partial 16S ribosomal RNA". It matches the Rfam family "Bacterial small subunit ribosomal RNA", at positions 524 to 745 of the family's 1533-position model. The record is from RNAcentral.